This is a small nuclear RNA of Magnolia sinica, 163 nucleotides long. RefSeq annotates it as U1 spliceosomal RNA. NCBI's taxonomy places the organism in Eukaryota, Viridiplantae, Streptophyta, Magnoliopsida, Magnoliales, Magnoliaceae. The transcript has a single exon. The record is from RefSeq and is a predicted model, not a curated record.
AUACUUACCUGGACGGGGUUGAAUGGGUUAUCAGAAAGGCUCAGGGCCUAGGUUAGUGGCCUCCAUUGCACUUAGGAGGAGCACUGACUUAGCAUCUCCUCAAGUAGGAGAGUGCACGUCAUAAUUUGUAGUAGAGGGGGGUGCGCGUACGCGCGGCCCCUAC